UGGCACAGUGUGUAAAGCACUUGGCUGCAAACCAAAAGGUUGGUGGUUCAAACCCACC
RNAcentral lists this transfer RNA (58 nucleotides) under Loxodonta africana (African savanna elephant). It matches the Rfam family "tRNA", at positions 8 to 63 of the family's 71-position model. From Rfam's summary of the family: Transfer RNA (tRNA) molecules are approximately 80 nucleotides in length. Their secondary structure includes four short double-helical elements and three loops (D, anti-codon, and T loops). The record is from Rfam by way of RNAcentral. Lineage: Eukaryota; Metazoa; Chordata; Mammalia; Proboscidea; Elephantidae.